AGCACAAAAUGCCCUGCCACCCAGAGGCCACUGACUUAAAAAGGCGGACUCGGCCCUUGGCUGUGGCGGUCAUCUGGCCGUUCUCGUCCACAGAGAACUCUGCGAUGAUAUUGUCCUGCAGAAAGAGGCCCUCGGGGUCCUUCUUGGCCAUGGCGUACCAGGUCCCGGAGAACUGAGAAAGAAAGGAGAGCAAAGACAAUAUCAGAUGUGUCUCCAUGGGCCAAACUGGGAAGAAAUGAGAUGAAUUUGGAUGAAUUAGCUGCAAGCAGACCUGAAAUAAGAAGGGGUGAAGGAAGAGAAGGGUGACUGCAAAACGGAAAAAUAGAGUUGACUGGUUCUCAGACCCAGCACUUUACAGGGCGUUGGGGCUAUUUCUGAACUCCUGAAAAGACACCCAUGGCUUCCUUUACCUACCUAAAUUUUUGGACAUCUGUCUGCCUAGUUCUCUGCUUCCACUUUCUCCCUUCCCCUCAGAUCAGCUCACCAUCCCCAGCCUUAGCUGUCUCUGGGGUGCCAACGAUGAUGCAUUCAACUCCUUACUGCCCAGAACUAGGAAAGCAUGUAUCUAGGCAACCAUCCAACAUGGAGAUCUUCUGGUCAGGCCAGUUUUACCAAAUAAUUCCAAACAGCUCAAAUAGGUCUGCUGCAGAGGUCCUUCUGCAGGGACCAUGUAUGUGCCAAUACCCAUGCUUCUAGGAGUAAACAGUCAAUUAGAGACAAAAAGAAUAUUCCAACCCAGGGCCAGAAACUCUGCCAAGGACUACCCUGAUGAAGAUGAGCAGUGGAAAUAAUGAGACUGGAUCAAGGAGAGGAGAGAAGGAGAAUGAUAUUUAUGUGUGUGCUGUAAGGCAGGCUUCUAAUAUUUCCCUUUAAAAGAUUGUUGCUUUUAUAAAAUGUCAUCCAGUACUCAAAGGAGUCACCAGUUACCCCUCUUUCUUUCUUGCUUUUCCUGUCUAAUCAAUUGCCCAGUCCUGUCAUUUAUGGCCUAGAAUUGUGUCUCACAUUUUUCCAUUCUUUUUUCAUUCCCACUAGCACAACUGCAAGCACUUACCUCUAGAAUAUGGAAACAGCCUUAAAAACUUUAAUUAUUUUUCUUCAUUACCUGAACUAUGCAUGUUCAUCAUGGAUACAGCACAAAAAUCAGGUAAUCAAAAAGAAGAAAAAAUUAAGAUCUUGAAUCUCACCACUUAGAGAUAAUUGUUAAUAUUUUAGUAUAUAUAUGUAUCUCCAGGUUUGUAUAUAAAUUUUACACACACAUAUAUGUUAA
This is a long non-coding RNA of Choloepus didactylus (southern two-toed sloth), 1267 nucleotides long. RefSeq lists it as uncharacterized. The record is from RefSeq and is a predicted model, not a curated record. Lineage: Eukaryota; Metazoa; Chordata; Mammalia; Pilosa; Megalonychidae. The transcript is spliced from 3 exons.